RNAcentral lists this ribosomal RNA (407 nucleotides) under uncultured microorganism. Its description in RNAcentral is "bacterial SSU rRNA". It matches the Rfam family "Bacterial small subunit ribosomal RNA", at positions 509 to 917 of the family's 1533-position model. The record is from RNAcentral.
CAGCCGCCGCGGUAAUACGUAGGGGGCGAGCGUUUCCCGGAUUCACUGGGCGUAAAGGGGGUGUAGGCGGCUCGGUAAGUCGGGUGUGAAAUCCCACGGCUCAACCGUGGAAUUGCGCCCGAAACUGCCGAGCUUGGGGCCGGUAGAGGGAGACGGAACUGCCGGUGUAGGGGUGAAAUCCGUAGAUAUCGGCAGGAACGCCGGUGGGGAAGCCGGUCUCCUGGGCCGCGCCCGACGCUGAGGCCCGAAAGCUAGGGGAGCAAACCGGAUUAGAUACCCGGGUAGUCCUAGCCGUAAACGAUGCCCACUAGGUGUGGGGGAGUAUUUCCUCCGUGCUGUAGCUAACGCGUUAAGUGGGCCGCCUGGGGAGUACGCCCGCAAGGGUGAAACUUAAAGGAAUUGGCGGG